RNAcentral lists this unclassified non-coding RNA (4413 nucleotides) under Hevea brasiliensis (rubber tree). Lineage: Eukaryota; Viridiplantae; Streptophyta; Magnoliopsida; Malpighiales; Euphorbiaceae. The record is from RNAcentral.
AAUUAAUUAUAAUUUAUGUAUCACGAAUUGAAUUGAUAUAAUUCAUGUAUUGUGUACUGAAUUAACGUACCGAUUAAGUCUACUCCCCGUGUACCCUAUAUUUAGCUAAGUGGCGAAUCGUGUACCCGUACCUGUACCGGUACCACAAUCCAAGACGUUCCACGUUCCAGGUUCUGAUAUCAAAGUCUUGAAAGGAAAUGGUGGCUGGAGUUUGGAAACAAGGUUGCAAGAAUUCUUGAUAAUUGAAACUCAAGCUAUUGGGUUGUUAUUAUUUGGAAGCCUGAGGAAUCAAUGGUGUCAGCUGUCCCUUUUUUUUUUUAAAACUGAGGAAGGGUAAGAAAGAUAAAUUUCAGUUUCUGCUCAGGAGAUGUGAAUUGUACAGAUUUUCAUUCAUAUUUGGCAUGGUAAAGUUGGGAUUUUGUAAAUCAUACUUAGGGUUUUAAGAAAUAAGGACUCAAGGAUCAAGUCGGGUUGAUGAAACAAUUACAACAGUGCAGUUAAUUAGAACAAAAAAAAGUGCAAGAAAAUAGGAGGAGAAAAACGUGCAUUCUCAAGACAAUUGAGAAGUCCCUAAUCAAAAACUGUUGAAUUCUCAAAUUAAUGUUACUGGAAACUCUAACUAAAGGAGGAGUCACAUUAUUGGUAGAUGCUUAUCCCACUGAAUAGAGAGAGUAGACUUCUCCAGCGACCACUUAACACAGAAGUGCAGCAUCUUAUGUUUAUUAUUUCUAACAAGUUAGUACUUCCUUUGUUUGCUUUAGAGCAGGGGAAAAGGUGAUAUUUUGAAUAGAAUGAAAUAAAGACUGCUGCAAAUGAAGAUUUGAGGAUCCCAUCCAACCUUCUUCUUAUGACAAUUAUGUUUAUGGAUGUAAUAAUCUUCCCAUAGAAGUCUAUGGCCUACUUCUGUACAUCUUAAAGCUCCUCCCAUUUUUCUUGCAAAAAUUACCUAAAGUCUUUUAUCCAAAGUCUGCAUACAUUUUUAUCAUAUCAUUAUAAAAUUUAUUGAAUUUUGGUGUUUCAUCCAAAGUCUCUGUACAUUUUAUAUCAUAUCAAAAUCCUUGUAUGCAUUAGUGCAAUUUGUCAUUCCUCAAAGAGGCAUAAUGAUUCAUGACUGGGUUCCAAAAAUGGAUACCAAAAAUGGAUAAAAACAUCAUGAAUCAUCUGGAUCACAAUAGAAUUUUGUCUGGCUGAUAUUUUUGCUGUGAAUUUUAGAUUCAUGGCUGUGUAGUCUAUAGCGUAAUGACAUGGAUGAAACAUCUGAUACUUUGUGAUGGAAGAUAUGCAAUUGCUUUUUCGUCCCAGAAAAUAAAGAGGAAACUGGAAAGAGAGGAAGAAAAAAGGAGUGGAGAGGGACAAUGGCUACUCGUGUGACCUGACUCUGUCUUCUUUUCUUUUUAAUUUUAUCUCCUUUCAAAAUCCCUAAUUUUUAUUUUUGUUUCUCUAUAAAAUCAUACCAGUGGCUCAUACUUAAAAGUUCUAUUUAUGCUAAGUUUACCUUUUAUAUAUUGACAAAAAGAGCUUCUGGCCCAUUUAUAUAAAAAAGCAUCUGUCAUUUUGUUCUUAUAAAUUAUUCGAUUAUUAUAUUUAUUUUUUUAUUAUUCCAUUUUUAUGAUAUAGUCAUAGAACUGUGUUAAAUUCCAGCUUAAUUCUGGUUAAAUGCAAGUGAAAUCUUCAGCUAGACCACAUUAAGACUCGAUACUGCGUUCACAAUUAGGUGUUUGGACAUAGUACAAUUGAUAGUUCUUUUGCUUCAGCAGUAGUCACUGUUACUUGAGGAAUGCUACGACUGCAAAUAAAGUAAAUUUAGCUCUCUUGUACUUCAUUUGUUCCUUUGUCUCAAACAUAAAUCUGUGAUGAUUUUGAGAACCUUCUAGAUCUGUUUCAUUUUUUCCAACUUCCCACUUUUGAAUGAAUUAUAGUGUUGCUAAUGUAAUACAAGUCACUGAACAGAUUAAAUUGAUAGAUGUGCUCCUGAUUUGCUAUUGUUAUCCUCCUGAAAUUGUUUGCUAACUUUCCAAUGUUAUGCAUGUUCAAUAUUUUUGACAACUGCAUUUCUAAGAAGAUAUUGAGUUGUUGACCACUCUUUUGUUGGCUAAAAUCUUGUUUCUAUUUUGACAGCUUGAAGAUAAUGUGUGGGAUGAAUUUAGUGAGAGUGAUGACCAUAUAGUACCUCAUCCUGCUGAGGAAAGUAGGGAUCAAUUUAGAGUUCACAGUGAUAACCAUAAGAAACCACGGCUUGAAGUAAUUUGUGUUGUGAGUAAUGCUGGUGAUGCUUCUAGAUAUACUCAGAGAAAAGAGGAAACUAGCUUGCCUACCCUGACCAGGAAGGAUAGGAUGCUAGAUAAGGGUUCAUGGUCUCAUGCACCUGAUGGUGUAUUUCCUGCUUCUUGUGAUAGUGGCACAGUCAAAGAGGUGACAAGUAUGGCAUCUGAAGAAACAAGACCAUCCUAUCAUUUUUUGAAAAAUAGGAAUGCUGGUUCUGUUGGCAGCGAGUUCUGUUCUGAUGAUCCCAUCUUGGGUGAAAAGAGUACUGCAGAUGAUACUGACACACAUCUUUUUCCACUCAGUCACGUAUCACAGACAGACAAUGAUCUUAACUUUUUUGACAAUGAUCGUGAAGACAAAGAAAACAGCGAUCUAUUAUAUUAUGGGUGGCCUGAUGACAUAGGAAAUUUUGAAGAUGUUGACAGGAUGUUUAGAAGCUGUGAUUCAACAUUUGGGUUGGGUAGUCUCAGUAAUGAGGAUGACUUGUGCUGGUUUUCGUCAUCUCAUUCUGCUGAAGGAGCUGACGAUGCACUGAAGUUGGCUUCUAAUUUUUCAAGUUCUGAGGCAAGUGCAUUGAAUUUGAAUUGCAUAUCAGAACAUCACGAUGCUUCUAUGCUGAACAAUGAGGAUGCUUCGGUCAAUGAUUCUAAUAAGGGAAGUCUAUUAAUGGGUGACAAAAUAAGUUCCAAUACUGCUGGAGCUGCUGACAAUUCUCCUUUUACUCACUUGCAAUUUCCGAACAGAUCAGAUGCAAAAUCUAUUAAUAACCAUAGAAGUCAGGCAAGGCAACGAAACCACUCAGAAGGAAAGAGAAAAGAACGAAACCUGGAUAAUGGUGGUUCUUUCCAUCGUAAUGGUAACUUAAAGCAAUUUGCAGAUACACAGUGUUCACAUGGGGAUCCACCUCAUCAAGUUUUUUCUCCUCCAGGUGCCCAGCAACGUAAACAAAACAUAGUUUCAGAUUCCUUGAAUCACUUGCAGACACAUAUUCCAUAUAUGCAUAUGGACCAUGGUCAUUCUUCAAAUCAAACUUCAGUUGGUCCAAAUCAAUCUGGAAUCAAAUCUGAAAGUAAUGGCCUCCCAUCUCCUCCUCCAAAGGAGUCUUCAUUUGAAUCAAAUCAAGUUCAAUCCAUGGAGAGUUCACAUAGUCCCUCAUUAGAGGCUCCUGCUAUAACAACUGAGAAGAGGGAAAGGCUGUAUCAUAACCAGGAUUUACAAGUCCCAUAUGCCAGGAGUUUCAAAUGUGCAAAUAUUGCUAGUCCUACAGCAUUUUAUGAUUCAGUUCAGAGUCAAGCCCGUCAAUCUGGGUGUGAGGUUGAAGGUCACAGUGAGAUUGAAGGAGGUAGCAUGGGGAUUCCAGCAGAGCUAGAUUCUGCAAAUGCUCAGGAAAGCUCCUGCAUGAGCUCUGUGUUAGAUGAAAUCUCGCUAGAAGCAACCAGUUUUCGUCAGCUUCAACAAGUCAUGGAACAGUUGGAUAUUAGGACAAAACUGUGCAUAAGAGAUAGUCUGUAUCGCUUGGCUAGGAGUGCUGAACAAAGGCAUAAUUGUGUGAAUGCAAAUGGUGGUAAGAGAGAUGACAGACACACUGGCAGUCCAUUGAUGGCCGAAGAAACAAACAAGAGCACUGGAUUCCUUGAUAUGGAAACGGAUACAAAUCCCAUAGAUCGAUCUAUAGCACAUUUACUGUUUCAUAGGCCCCCAGAUUCAUCUGUGAUGCCUGUCAAUGAUGCUUUGUCUCUAAAAUCUCACGCCAUGGUUCAUGGGUCUGUAACCAGUCCACGUAUGAUAGCCAAGGAACAAAUUUGCCAGGACGAAACUGCCAGUGAUGCAGAUGAAAGUUUGUUAAUGAGUGGCAAUAAACAAUAAAGAACUAACAUGGCUCACUCAUUGUAGAAUUUGCCUUUUUUUUUUUUCUUAAGAGUAUUGCACAUCAAGAUGUACAAUAACUUUUCAUGAGGCUCCAACAUAGAUACCAGUUCAAUUCUUUGUUUGGAUCCUCAACAUUUCUCAGAUGUUAUACGAUCAACCCUGAUGUUUAUCCUUGGAUUGGCUAACAUACUUAUCUGUUUAACUGUCUUAUUUCCUGAGAUUUUUAUUUGUUCCUCUUGUAAAACAUGCUUUAUUUUAGUUUUGAUUUGUGGAUACAAC